UAUGUUACUCCAACCGCUGAAACGAACAUGAGGAUAAGUAUCCAUCGACGUAGUCUUGACGAAGGAAAAUAGGAAAGCGAAUAUGAUGAGGAUCUGAUCUGAGGUUAUGGAAUAUACCAUAGAAAUUCAUUAUUCAUCGUUUAAUGGAGAUAUCCGAGAGCUUCUGGUCGCACAUGAUGACUGCGAGUACCGAUCCAUGGUUCAAGUGCCGCAAGCGACAAGUUGUAUAACAGCCAAACGCAGAAUAUGGAAAAAAGGGUCGUCACAACUCCGUACCUAUGGUUUCACCACAAAUUAGUCAAAACUAUCUGACUAAUUGUAAGGCCAUCGGAUUAACGAAAUAAUGACCAACGAUUCAAUUCACGUAUAGCACAAUAGUUAUAAUAAUAGAAAAUUAUUGAAUUGAUCAAUUUUUGAAUGAGUUUCAGAUCACAAAGCCACGUUUACACCAGAGAGAUUAGCUGUGAUAACAAACAGAACUUACCCAAAGAUCCAUAAUAUUAUGAUUCCCAGAAACAUGGGUACCAGAAAUCUGUGGCUAGCCACAAUUCGAAGACUGAGCCGAGGUGGGAUGUGAGUUUCUUCGCUUGAGGAAAACCCAUUGAACGUUCUCUUAGGUAAAUGUUUUACCACUGUUGGUGGUUGUAAUACCCGUCGCAUAAAACGGCCAACGAUAUCUGGUCUAUCGUACGCCGUUUGCAAUUGAAGCUGAUACUAGAAUGUCAAAAUUAAAUGUCACUAAUUUUUUUUUUUUAUGUACGACGUGAACAAUGAACUAGAUACAAUAUAAAAAUGGCACUCAUACCUUUGUGUUGAUGUGGUUACAUAAUUGAAAGAGUAAUCUGACGAGGAAUGCGUUCUCAUGAGUCCGUACAGGUUGUAACUCGGGAUCUCCCAUGAACUCAAUGUAUCGACAACUUUGUCGCCUUUCUUGAAUUUGUAGAUAAACUCCUGGCCUAGACGUGUCUAAGCUCGUAUCCAUCUGAACAAGAAUAUUACAUGAUUCAUGGGGAGUAAUCGACAUACAGUAUACUGAAAUGACAGCCAAUUCUAAUACAUUAAGAUACGACGUAUGAAGUUUUCAUGUAAAAUGAUUGACGUGCAAUAAUGAAUUUGUAAAUUAAAUAACAAAUCUUCAACAUUCUUACGUGUGAUUGAUUACAGACCGAAGUUGACAAUAUACUGUCGUGAUACUCUUGAUCGGCAACUAUUGCCACCUGCGGAAUAUCGUCGAAUUUUAUCUGAAAAAGUAUUACAGUUAAGAUCAAUCUGGGUGCUGAGAAAUUAUCUUUUCACC
This 1297-nucleotide unclassified non-coding RNA is filed under the name Athalia rosae (coleseed sawfly). RNAcentral describes it as "misc RNA ENSAEAG00005007229.1". Lineage: Eukaryota; Metazoa; Arthropoda; Insecta; Hymenoptera; Athaliidae. The record is from RNAcentral.